RNAcentral lists this ribosomal RNA (262 nucleotides) under uncultured bacterium. RNAcentral describes it as "partial 16S ribosomal RNA". It matches the Rfam family "Bacterial small subunit ribosomal RNA", at positions 793 to 1055 of the family's 1533-position model. The record is from RNAcentral.
GUCCACGCCGUAAACGUUGGGCACUAGGUGUGGGGCUCUAUCGACGGGCUCUGUGCCGUAGCUAACGCAUUAAGUGCCCCGCCUGGGGAGUACGGCCGCAAGGCUAAAACUCAAAGGAAUUGACGGGGGCCCGCACAAGCGGCGGAGCGUGUGGCUUAAUUCGAUGCAACGCGAAGAACCUUACCUGGGCUUGACAUGUUUGGUAAAGCGGUAGAAAUACCGUGUGCUUCGGCGCCUUACACAGGUGGUGCAUGGCUGUCGU